Neofelis nebulosa (Clouded leopard) is the source of this 1399-nucleotide long non-coding RNA. RefSeq lists it as uncharacterized. The transcript is spliced from 5 exons. NCBI's taxonomy places the organism in Eukaryota, Metazoa, Chordata, Mammalia, Carnivora, Felidae. The record is from RefSeq and is a predicted model, not a curated record.
GAGAGACUCGAGGUUCUGUUAGGAAGAGAAUGUGCACCCCACUCUUUUCUAAAUCUCUGACAAUGCUACUAAACUGUGGAUAGCUCAGGUCAAUCAUGGCUCAUUCACUUUGGUUAUCUCAAAACAGGGCGUCAUAUAAAAUCUGCCAAUGAUUUCUGUGGGGCGUAACAGAACUUCUCAAAAGGCCUCAACAUAUGGAAUUCCAUGCUGCUGUGCAAAUAGCCUGGCAGGAGAGAUCUGGUGUGUGAGGGUCUGAGUCCUCCAGCUGGAGAAUGAGGAGUUGCCCAGCUUCCUCCAGGCCUGCAGAGUGGACGUCUGGGGCCAGAUUGAUUUGCUGCUGCAGCUCUGUGAAACUCUCAGAGGUGAUAACCCUAAACACCUAUUUAACAACCAAGUUGUCACGAAGAUAGUACAAAUCAAGAAGAAAAAAAAAAGAGCACAGUUUCAGAGGGAAUAUUGGAUGCAAUUAAAGUUAUUGGUGAUUCACUUACCAUGGGGCAGGGAGAACCAAAGCACAAGGCAUUGCAAACUGUAACAUAACACAGACAGCAAUACAAUCCAAGGAGGAUCCCAUUAAACGCUGGUAUAAUUGAAGAUCACUGAAGAAUCCAAUGUGACUUACAGGAAAGUAUAUGGGGAACAAGCAGAGUUCUGCCAGGACAUCCGCUCCAGGAUGAGGAGGGACAACAUGGAAAUGAAUGAAGCCAGUGCACUAGGUGGAGCAUUCAUGCAUCUGAAAGCCAGAUCUGAGGGAAAGUGUGACAUGAAAGCAAACAUGUGAUGUCAUAGAAAACAAAAAAUACUGAAAGGCAUCUUGUACUAUGAAUGUCUUCUGUUCAGCUGAGCACCCCCUGAUAAAUCACGGUGUGAGUUCAUCCUCAUAAAACUAUGUAAAUCUAAGAUUUAGGAUGAAUACUAAGAUUUCCAAGAGUGAUGAACAUUUAUUUUGCAAUGGGUAAGGCUGGUAUUUCUUUGGCUUGUUCUGGGUCAUCAAAUUGUCCUCUUAAUUUUUUCUUAUUUCUCUGUCUCUCUCUGUCUCUCUCACUGUGUGUGUGUGUGUGUGUGUGUGAAACUUCUAAGUUUUUAUUUAAAUGGUACAUUUGAUAUUUUACCUUUCCAUUACCACUUGAAAAAAGUUUCAAGAUAAUGUACCCAGCCUAAAUGAUUAACAUUAAUUACAUCAGAAAACAAUAGAAAUUCAGAUAGAUUAAAGAAUAAUGUAAAAAUACAUACAUACAUACAUACAAAAUAUAGGUGAAUAUUUUUGUGAUCUUGGGAUACAAAAUUACUUCAUGUAAUGGGUUGAAUACUGUUCUGCCAAAAUUCAUGUUCACAGAAACCUGUGAAUGCGACUGUAUUUGGAAAUAAAGUCUUGGCAGAUACAGUCAAAUUAAGAUGA